UACGUAGGGGGCAAGCGUUAUCCGGAAUUACUGGGUGUAAAGGGUGAGUAGGCGGCAUGGUAAGCCAGAUGUGAAAGCCUUGGGCUUAACCCGAGGAUUGCAUUUGGAACUAUCAAGCUAGAGUACAGGAGAGGAAAGCGGAAUUCCUAGUGUAGCGGUGAAAUGCGUAGAUAUAUGGAAGAACACCAGUGGCGAAAGCGGCUCUCUGGUCUGUAACUGACGCUGAGGUUCGAAAGCGUGGGUAGCAAACAGG
Molecule: ribosomal RNA, 253 nt
Filed under: uncultured bacterium
Lineage: Bacteria
Also listed under: 1 other name
Description: partial 16S ribosomal RNA
Rfam family: Bacterial small subunit ribosomal RNA
Source: RNAcentral